This 459-nucleotide ribosomal RNA is filed under the name uncultured Enterobacterales bacterium. RNAcentral describes it as "bacterial SSU rRNA". It matches the Rfam family "Bacterial small subunit ribosomal RNA", at positions 48 to 496 of the family's 1533-position model. The record is from RNAcentral. Lineage: Bacteria; Pseudomonadati; Pseudomonadota; Gammaproteobacteria; Enterobacterales.
CUAACACAUGCAAGUCGAACGGUAGCACAGAGGAGCUUGCUCCUUGGGUGACGAGUGGCGGACGGGUGAGUAAUGUCUGGGAAACUGCCCGAUGGAGGGGGAUAACUACUGGAAACGGUAGCUAAUACCGCAUAACGUCGCAAGACCAAAGAGGGGGACCUUCGGGCCUCUUGCCAUCGGAUGUGCCCAGAUGGGAUUAGCUAGUAGGUGGGGUAACGGCUCACCUAGGCGACGAUCCCUAGCUGGUCUGAGAGGAUGACCAGCCACACUGGAACUGAGACACGGUCCAGACUCCUACGGGAGGCAGCAGUGGGGAAUAUUGCACAAUGGGCGCAAGCCUGAUGCAGCCAUGCCGCGUGUAUGAAGAAGGCCUUCGGGUUGUAAAGUACUUUCAGCGAGGAGGAAGGCGUUGUGGUUAAUAACCGCAACGAUAGACGUUACUCGCAGAAGAAGCACCGG